GUAUAUAGGAUUGAGACGAUGGCCGUAGCUUCUAUUGUUAAGCUUCUUAAACGGACUAAACUGACAUUAUAGUUUGUCUGGCAUCUGAAAGUGGAGAUGAAGCCUCAUACCAGCGUCGUCAGACCUAAACUGAUGUCACUGCCAGCUGAAGCUCCUCUGAUAAUACAGGACGUUACAGACGCGCGAGCCACGCGUCCUUCAAACCUCAUCUCCAGUCCUCCAGUGUCCGGAUGUUCCACGGCUGCUGAAGCCAGGCUGAAUGUUUUCUCAGCGACACGGAAAUGCCCACGCAGUCCGAGCGUGAUAUUUCUGGACGGCAUUUCUUAUUUGAUAAACGAUGGAGAAAUGGAACUUACUUCACUAAUGGCAUUGAAGGUGAUGUUCUGAUAAACCACAACCCUACAAAUCCACUGUCUCAGGACUUCCAUGUGUAUCGCUCUCACAAUCUAACCAGAUUCGCCCACCGCAAAGAACUCUGCCUGCGCGACCCAAGACCACUUAUUUGCGGGUCUGAUUAUCUGGCUUCAUUUCCAUCAGUUCUGUUACCAGCCACCACCCCAUCUGUCAGUGGACGGCUCUGUUUAUCACAAAACUAUAAAAACAGAUUAAGGAUGAAAACCAGAGCACGAAAUCUCUUCGAUGGCGCUAACAA
Cyprinus carpio carpio is the source of this 652-nucleotide long non-coding RNA. The record is from Ensembl. NCBI's taxonomy places the organism in Eukaryota, Metazoa, Chordata, Actinopteri, Cypriniformes, Cyprinidae.